This 1364-nucleotide long non-coding RNA is filed under the name Salmo salar (Atlantic salmon). RNAcentral describes it as "lncRNA (ENSSSAG00000122296.1)". The record is from RNAcentral. Lineage: Eukaryota; Metazoa; Chordata; Actinopteri; Salmoniformes; Salmonidae.
CUCUGGUCUCUCUCUGAUCUGUGGCGAUGUGUAAGUGUAUAUGCCCUUUGUGACUGUGUGUAUAUAUAUGCUUUCUCCAAGGUCUAUCAGAUGGACAAUGUAUCUCGGAUCACGGCUCAUGUCUCCAAAUAGGGCUGAAUCAGCCAACCCACGAUGUGUCUAUGGGAGCUGUAAUAUUCAGUCCGGCAUGAAUCAUCAACCAGGUCUAUGACAUCCGACCGGAGCCGACUCACCGACUCGUCUAAACAAUCUGACCGGGUCUACCUUGUUCAACCUUGGCUGAUGUCUCCAACCAGGACAUUGUAGUCAAAGUGGAUAAAGUCUACAUAUCCCAGAGAUAGUUUCUAUUUAACAUUGUAUACAUCUCAACGUAGGUUCCUAUACAUUAGCCUCAUCUGCAAGUCAUGGCUGUACAGUCCUAUCUGACGGAAUGGGACCAAUGUUGUCACUGUGACAACUUCAAGCAUGUCACCUUGGAUAGGUUUCUAGCCAUCCCACACAGAGAGCUGAGGGAUGACUACAGAACAUCUUUUGCUACACAACAUCAGAACCUGUGCGACACUCUACGAAAGGUGUUGAUGAAGAAACUACUGGUAGAUCGGAUGCAACGUACUCCACCUGCCCCAAGGACAGCACGACCCUUGGAAGUCGAUAGCCUAUCCUGCAAGAUAAAGAGCCUAUCAUUAAGAGAUUGAGUGGGAGUCAAGAGCAAAGCUUUGAACUGUUCUUCCUGUACCACAGCCCUAAGUGUCUCCAAGUGCAAGGAACGUGUCUCCGUGAAGGAUCACCUGGGCGUCCCUGUGAGAGCAAAGAAAAGGAGACAAGGGUUGCGAUUCCCGUUGAGAGCUGUGCACAGACAUGUGAAACGGGGAGUCUGAGUGUCCUGGUACAGACACACAGCCUACCCUAAUACUGCUGACUCCUCCGACCAAAUGCACCUGCAUAUGAGAGCACAGCCAUCCAAACGAAUCUACCCAAUCCAGUCCAUGUUAGGUUCGGAGGCUCAUCAUUUGAAGACGGAAAAGUGGUGCUGGUGAACCCUUGUACACAUAACCAGGCCUCUAUCCCAUAUAGAGGCAGGAGGACAGUCUCACCAGUAAGGAGGACCAGCCAUGUCUGGUACUAUAAGCAAUGUUCCUAAUAACAGUACUUUGUACCACUCAGACAAGAGCCUCACUGACACAGACCUGUGCAUAUGGAGCGUGGCUAUGGUCCUAAUAAUGGUUGUGCUGUCACUUGUCUGCUGCUUGUGUUACAUAUAUGUACUAUGUGCAAGGAAGACAAGAUACACCAUACUGCCUUUGAUUUCGGUGUGAUUCUAUUAUGUGCAUGUGAUGUUACUCAGUUGACCUGCUAAUAAACAG